This 469-nucleotide ribosomal RNA is filed under the name uncultured bacterium. Its description in RNAcentral is "bacterial SSU rRNA". It matches the Rfam family "Bacterial small subunit ribosomal RNA", at positions 43 to 524 of the family's 1533-position model. The record is from RNAcentral.
CAGGCCUAACACAUGCAAGUCGAGCGAGGCUCCUCCUUCGGGAGGAUGCCCUAGCGGCGAACGGGUGAGUAACACGUGGGCAACCUGCCCCUGGCUCUGGGAUAACUCCGGGAAACCGGGGCUAAUACCGGAUACGACCUCUGCGGGCAUCCUCCGGAGGUGGAAAGAUUUAUCGGCCAGGGAUGGGCCCGCGGCCUAUCAGCUUGUUGGUGGGGUAACGGCCUACCAAGGCGACGACGGGUAGCCGGCCUGAGAGGGCGACCGGCCACACUGGGACUGAGACACGGCCCAGACUCCUACGGGAGGCAGCAGUGGGGAAUAUUGCACAAUGGGCGAAAGCCUGAUGCAGCGACGCCGCGUGAGGGAUGACGGCCUUCGGGUUGUAAACCUCUUUCAGCAGGGACGAAGCGAAAGUGACGGUAUCUGCAGAAGAAGCAACGUCCAUCUACGUGCCAGCAGCCGCGGUCAU